CUACGGGUGGCAGCAGUGGGGAAUUUUGCGCAAUGGGCGAAAGCCUGACGCAGCAACGCCGCGUGACCGAUGAAGCUUCGAGGAGUGUAAAGGUCUGUCCCAGGGGAAGAAAAAGAUCGAUAUGAAUAAUAUCGGUCAUUGACGGUACCCUGGAAGAAAGCCCCGGCUAACUUCGUGCCAGCAGCCGCGGUAAUACGAGGGGGGCGAGCGUUGUCCGGAAUCAUUGGGUGUAAAGGGCUUGUAGGCGGAUCAGUUAGUCGGAACUUAAAUCCCACGGCUUAACCGUGGAGCUGGUUUCGAUACUGCUGGUCUUGAGUUCGGUAGGGGAAGGCGGAAUUCCUGGUGUAGCGGUGGAAUGCGUAGAUAUCAGGAGGAACACCGAAGGCGAAGGCAGCCUUCUGGACCGAGACUGACGCUGAGAAGCGAAAGCGUGGGUAGCGAACAGGAUUAGAUACCCUGGUAGUC
Molecule: ribosomal RNA, 465 nt
Filed under: uncultured bacterium
Lineage: Bacteria
Description: partial 16S ribosomal RNA
Rfam family: Bacterial small subunit ribosomal RNA
Source: RNAcentral